This 488-nucleotide unclassified non-coding RNA is filed under the name Hevea brasiliensis (rubber tree). Lineage: Eukaryota; Viridiplantae; Streptophyta; Magnoliopsida; Malpighiales; Euphorbiaceae. The record is from RNAcentral.
GCAAUCAAAAUUGAUGAAUAUUCCAAGGAACAUAGUUUAUCAAACAAAUAAAAGUACAGAAUCACCACAUAUAUAUUAGCUCUCUAAAGAAAAACGAUGAUGGGACUCGUAGACGCAUGCAUACAUAACACCAACACUAUGAAACGAUAGCUCAGUCGAUGAAAACCACAAUCUACAAAUAAAUCAAAUAGUGAAAACACAGCAGAAGAAUGUUUGCACACUCGAUGAGUCCAACUGUUUAGCACAAUACACUUCAUUGAUCAGCUGAUGGGUUUGUCAGCAACUCAAGUGAUUUUUUGAGGUAAUCUACAGCGAUAGAGACAUCAUCAAAUGCCAGAGCUCCGACAGCAAACCUUGCAGCCUUGUGUGCUUCAGCUAUUUUCUCCGGAGGGGGCUGGUAAUUGCUGUCGUAUGCGUAUGUUUUCGCUGGAGCAGCUGCAACUUCUGGUGCAGACCCAUUUCUGUCAUUUGAGUUGUAUUGAGCGCUU